GGAUAUCGAACAAAGAACAGCCUUUUUGUUGAUUAGACCAAUUGUCAAUUACUUUAAUUUGCGUGCCUAGUUACGAUCGUAGUUACAAUGUUUAUCCUUUUCCCUAUUGGUUUGUAAUCGGAUAUUUUAGCGUCACCACGCGCAUAUAAAAGCUAAAUUAGCGUCCCUAUAAGCCAGAGUUUCGUAAGAUUUCGCCUUGAACAGCAAUAACUUCGUCUUUCGUUCCAAACCUUUGGCACAAGCGGGACCGAUAUUUUACGAUCGUGAUCGUGACCGUGAUCUAAAUAAACACCGUUGAUAGUCA
Pocillopora damicornis (cauliflower coral) is the source of this 304-nucleotide long non-coding RNA. The record is from RefSeq and is a predicted model, not a curated record. Lineage: Eukaryota; Metazoa; Cnidaria; Anthozoa; Scleractinia; Pocilloporidae.